Myxocyprinus asiaticus (Chinese sucker) is the source of this 136-nucleotide small nucleolar RNA. RefSeq annotates it as small nucleolar RNA SNORA57. The record is from RefSeq and is a predicted model, not a curated record. The transcript has a single exon. Lineage: Eukaryota; Metazoa; Chordata; Actinopteri; Cypriniformes; Catostomidae.
CCUCCUUUUCUUGGCAUACAUGUAGUUUUUCAGUACUCAUGUGUGUAAUGUACGGAGGUAAAUAAAGCCAGUGCUAUGUCUUCGGUGCUAGCAUGUUUAUCGUCUGCUGGUUCUAUCCUCAAUCAUUGGAACAAGU